Molecule: ribosomal RNA, 397 nt
Filed under: uncultured bacterium
Lineage: Bacteria
Description: partial 16S ribosomal RNA
Rfam family: Bacterial small subunit ribosomal RNA
Source: RNAcentral
AUACGUAGGUGGCAAGCGUUGUCCGGAAUUAUUGGGCGUAAAGCGCGCGCAGGUGGUUCCUUAAGUCUGAUGUGAAAGCCCCCGGCUCAACCGGGGAGGGUCAUUGGAAACUGGGGAACUUGAGUGCAGAAGAGGAUAGUGGAAUUCCAAGUGUAGCGGUGAAAUGCGUAGAGAUUUGGAGGAACACCAGUGGCGAAGGCGACGGUCUGGUCUGUAACUGACACUGAGGCGCGAAAGCGUGGGGAGCAAACAGGAUUAGAUACCCUGGUAGUCCACGCCGUAAACGAUGAGUGCUAAGUGUUGGGGGGUUUCCGCCCCUCAGUGCUGCAGCUAACGCAUUAAGCACUCCGCCUGGGGAGUACGGUCGCAAGACUGAAACUCAAAUGAAUUGACGGGG